UGGAACCCAAUUUCCGAGUCCAACAACAAAACUACAUUUCAAGAAUGGCUUUCCAUUUCGCCGCCGCCGCUUUUGCAGCCUGUAUUGCGAUGGUGAUGGUGGCCGUGGAUGCGCACGAGGGCCACGACCACAGCCACAUGGCACCUUCUUCGCCACCAAUGUCACCUGCUAACUGGGGUGCCCUCAGUUCUUUUCCGUCGGCGGUGGUUGGAUUCUUAGCAUUGGUGGUCUCGUUCAUCGGAGUUUUUGGGACAAGGGUUUGAGAUUUAUUUUCAUGCAUGCAAUCGUUUUUUCUUUCUUUCUGUUUUAUUUUUGUUCCCUGUUUGGAUCCAUCUUUUUAAACGCCUUUCUCCAUUCUUGCUCUACUUUUGUGAAUUUUAUCCCCAAUUUGGGUGUUGUACAAUGUUCCGG
Molecule: long non-coding RNA, 411 nt
Filed under: Olea europaea (common olive)
Lineage: Eukaryota; Viridiplantae; Streptophyta; Magnoliopsida; Lamiales; Oleaceae
Description: long non-coding RNA (OEUR_LNC002206)
Source: RNAcentral